This 407-nucleotide ribosomal RNA is filed under the name uncultured bacterium. RNAcentral describes it as "bacterial SSU rRNA". It matches the Rfam family "Bacterial small subunit ribosomal RNA", at positions 355 to 774 of the family's 1533-position model. The record is from RNAcentral.
UGGGGAAUAUUGCACAAUGGGCGCAAGCCUGAUGCAGCGACGCCGCGUGAGGGAUGACGGCCUUCGGGUUGUAAACCUCUUUCAGCAGGGAAGAAGCGCAAGUGACGGUACCUGCAGAAGAAGCGCCGGCUAACUACGUGCCAGCAGCCGCGGUAAUACGUAGGAUCCGAGCGUUAUCCGGAUUUAUUGGGUUUAAAGGGUGCGCAGGCGGGAUGUUAAGUCGGCGGUGAAAUUUUGCAGCUCAACUGUAAAAGUGCCUUCGAUACUGGCCUCCUUGAGUGUGGAUGAAGUAGGCGGAAUUUGUGGUGUAGCGGUGAAAUGCUUAGAUAUCACGAGGAACUCCGAUUGCGCAGGCAGCUUACUAAGCCACAACUGACGCUCAUGCACGAAGGCGUGGGGAUCAAACA